AUGUUUAGCAUAAAUGGCAGGCUAUUUCUUCUUUGAGAAGAAAUAGAAUCCAAGGUUUGUAAUCAUGAACCACACAGAAGCUUUAUACAAAGAAAAUGUUUUAAGUAUGUAAAGAUAAAGUGUCCUAAAGGCAAUUUUUCAAUUUCUUAAUUUAUGCCAUCUUUAUUUUUCAGAACUUGAUGUCAACUUUAUUUCUCAAAAUAUAUCUGCAGAGGUCUGCAGAAACCUGCAGGCCAGCAUCUGUUCUUGGAGGCCAGGCUUCCAGCUUGCAUUGACUUUCAGGAUCUUUCUUCAGGCAAACACCUGGAGACAAUCAUCUGCAGAUGCCAGUCUGCAAGCAGAUGUAUAUGGGUCUUUUCCAGAAUGUCAUAUAAAUGGAAUCAUAUAAUAUCUUUUUGUUCCCCCACAGGAGAGACUGGUUUGCGGUUCCCUCAUGUGAAAGACUGCACAUGAGGUACUGGUUAGCUUUUUGUUCCCUCGCAUGUGGAGGACUGCAUGUGAGGUUUGUCCCAGACUAACUUUCAGAUGUUUUUUUGUCUAUUUUGUCUACAUCAGCAGAUGAGGUAGAGAAGUAACUAGGUUAUAUCAGAGUGAGGUGACAGGCACGUUGCCAAGCACUGGAAGGCCUUGGGCCAAUGGUCCCAGGCAAAAACAGUAAGUAUUGUUUGUCCGAAUGAACUGGCCCUUCAGCUGGAUAAACAAUAUUUUUAUCACAGUAACUGCUGGACCCUCCCCGAACUGACCAUUCCCUGAGGCGGAGGCAGGAACAAGGAGGUUGGCUCUAAGGUACAUCUGAAAAAAUAUAUAAGACAGACAUCAGUUGGCAGUGUAAUUUUGUCACUUGUCAUUGGUGAUUCUUUAUCAUUCUAAUAUUUUGGGAAACUUCCAGCAACAUGCAGCUUAUAACACCAGGAGACACCCUGACUACCAGCUGCGAACCUAAUGAGGUCUGGCUGGUUCCCUACCUCUCCAAUGUUGUUCCCCAUGGUUAGCCUUCUUAAGAACUUGUUAGCAUUUUGGAAAUUUGUAUGCAGCUUGCAGCUUACAACAUCAGAAGAUGUCUUGACUUCCAACAACAACAACAGCAACGGCAACGGCAAUAACACCAGCAUUCUUGGGAACUAGCAAGCAGCAGUGAGAGAUGCCUUAGCUUUCCCAGCUGCAGACCUGGCAAGAUUUUGAUUCCUGACCUUUCCACUGUUGUUUUUCCUAAGGUUUGGUGAGCUUUUGGCAUCUACUAUAAUAGUUGCUAUCCUAUAGAGUUUGUUACUGCUUUUGGAUACUCCUUAUUGAUGUUAUUUGUGUAUUUAGCCAAGUGAGUUUUGAUCAAUAGUAAACAUAUGUUGGGAUCUCUUAAACUUAUAU
This is a long non-coding RNA of Rhinolophus ferrumequinum (greater horseshoe bat), 1365 nucleotides long. RefSeq lists it as uncharacterized. Lineage: Eukaryota; Metazoa; Chordata; Mammalia; Chiroptera; Rhinolophidae. The record is from RefSeq and is a predicted model, not a curated record. The transcript has 3 exons.